AUUGAACGCUAGCGGGAUGCUUUCCACAUGCAAGUCGAACGGAGUGGCGGACGGGUGAGUAAUAUAUCGGCACGUGCCCAGUAGCGGGGGAUAACUACUCGAAAGCGUGGCUAAUACCGCAUAAUAUUGGCGCGGCCGAUAUCGGAUUAGCUAGUUGGUGGGGUAAAGGCUCACCAGGGCCACGAUCCGUAGCUGGGUUGAGAGGACGACCAGCCACACGAGGACGGAGAAACGGCCCAGACUCCUACGGGAGGCAGCAGUGGGGAAUUUGGGACAAUGGGGGAAAGCCUGAUCCAGCCAUGCCGCGUGUAUGAUGAAGGCCUUCGGGUUGUAAAGUACUUUUGGCAGAGAAGCGGUAUCUGCAGAAUAAGCACCGGCUAACUACGUGCCAGCAGCCGCGGUAAUUC
RNAcentral lists this ribosomal RNA (407 nucleotides) under uncultured bacterium. RNAcentral describes it as "partial 16S ribosomal RNA". It matches the Rfam family "Bacterial small subunit ribosomal RNA", at positions 30 to 526 of the family's 1533-position model. The record is from RNAcentral.